Unclassified non-coding RNA from Erinaceus europaeus (western European hedgehog), 314 nucleotides. Its record names the gene 7SK. It matches the Rfam family "7SK RNA". Rfam says of the family: 7SK was discovered as an abundant small nuclear RNA in the mid-70s but a possible function has only recently been suggested. Two independent studies have found that 7SK RNA binds the CDK9/cyclin T complex (known as elongation factor P-TEFb). P-TEFb activates transcription by phosphorylating the C-terminal domain of RNA polymerase II. Lineage: Eukaryota; Metazoa; Chordata; Mammalia; Eulipotyphla; Erinaceidae. The record is from Ensembl.
GGAUGUGAGGGCGAUCUUGCUGCUUCACCCGUCACCCCAUUGGUCACUGGGUGAUGCAGCGAAUCUGUGUGGCCAAGGCUUCUGUCUGCUUCCUCCCUCGCCGCUCCGUGUGCGUCUCUCCUAAACCGCAUGCUCAGUUAGAGACCUUUCCCUGGUAGAGAGAGGACACGUGAGCAGCUGCCCUCCCCUCCAGGGGCCUCCUCCUGGGGCCUCCAAACAAGCUCUCUCCAGAGACCCAUGCAUUGCAGCUGGGAAAGAGCUCAGCUGUGUGCUUCACGAUCAAUUACUGCAAUGCUCUCAUUGCAGAAUUUAAU